CUUAUCAAGAGUGGCUGAGGGAACGGCCCUGUGAUGCCACGGCAACCUGUCCGCGCCUCCUUAAAUGGACACGCCUUCAAGGUGCCAAUUCCGGCGGUGAUUAUCCGCAAAGAUGAG
This 117-nucleotide non-coding RNA is filed under the name bovine gut metagenome. RNAcentral's name for it is "SAM riboswitch (S box leader)". It matches the Rfam family "SAM riboswitch aptamer (S box leader)". Rfam says of the family: The SAM riboswitch is found upstream of a number of genes which code for proteins involved in methionine or cysteine biosynthesis in Gram-positive bacteria. The SAM riboswitch acts at the level of transcription termination control. The record is from RNAcentral. RNAcentral also lists the same sequence under 1 other name.